Molecule: long non-coding RNA, 735 nt
Organism: Ctenopharyngodon idella (grass carp)
Lineage: Eukaryota; Metazoa; Chordata; Actinopteri; Cypriniformes; Xenocyprididae
Exons: 2
Source: RefSeq, a predicted model, not a curated record
ACAUGCAUCAAAAAUACAAACAAUGAUGUCUGCUCAAAAAACAAUAUCACAUGCAAAUGGUGUGACAACUGAGAACAUUUUGGGAGGGACUUGUAACCACAUGAGCAGAAGUGUGAAAAGUAAAGGCAGUGGUACACACUUCCUUAAAACAUAACACACACACACACUGAAACCAAUACCAGUAUUUUUGAUUGUUCAGAUUUGCCUUUUUAUACUUCAAAUAAUAUUUGAGCUAGUUUUUGGUUCCAGAUACAAUGCUGUUCAAAAGUGUGGGGCACAUUCACUCUCGUGGUGAGGUGCUGGAUGAAGACGUCCUGUAAGGCAUGGUCUCUGGAGUGGUCCGCGUGCUGAAGGAAGCUGAUGAGAGAGUGGCAGAGCCGCGGCUGCUGGCGGGUUAAAAGAGAACGGAGGCAGGAUAGAACAGCAGCACUCAGUGGAGGAGUAGAAUCACCUGGAAUCUUUCCCUUUACUUCCUCAGAGUACAGGAAGGCUUCAUGCAGCUCCUAUGGAAGAUAUAGAAGUGGAUAAACAAAAUGCACUGUUUUGGAAGUUAAAGAUGGCAUGAAAUGAAAAUUGUGAUUGUCUUUUCUUCCCUAUUGUGAUGUAUAACUGAGUGAAACGGCUUUUUUUCCCCCUUUGUAAUCCGCUGUAACAGUAUGAAAAAGAUAACAUAUACUGCGCAUUUGUGGUCUGCGAUAUAUAUCCCAUGAAUAAAUCACUGGAAUGCACUAAGAA